CCCUUAGAUGUUCUGGGCUGCACGCGUGCUACACUGAUAUUGCCAAUAUGUCAUUCUUAUCCGAAAUGGAUUGGGUAAUCAAGUAAUGAAAUUUCAUGCUUGGAAACGGUAAUUGCAAUUUUAUCGUGAACGAGGAAUUCCUAGUAAGCACUAGUCAUCAGCUAAUGUUGAUUAUGUCCCUGCCCUUUGUACACACCGCCCGUCGCUACUACUGAUUGGGUGUUCAAGUGAGAUGCUUAGACCCUUGUUGCAUGGUUCAUUAUUGUGCUCCGAAAGGAAAAAGUUUCAAGCUUGAGUGUCUAGAGGAAGUAAAAGUCGUAACA
Molecule: ribosomal RNA, 323 nt
Filed under: uncultured eukaryote
Lineage: Eukaryota
Description: partial 18S ribosomal RNA
Rfam family: Eukaryotic small subunit ribosomal RNA
Source: RNAcentral